This is a long non-coding RNA of Cyprinus carpio (common carp), 1112 nucleotides long. The record is from Ensembl. Lineage: Eukaryota; Metazoa; Chordata; Actinopteri; Cypriniformes; Cyprinidae.
UAAAUGCAAUAAAUUGUAUCCUUAAUUAUAUAUUUAUUAAGUUAGAAUAUCAUGCCAGUGCUUUGUUAGCUAUACAUCAUUAUGUAAAAUGCUAUAAAAUAAAUGUUGAAACAUUUAUCAUUUAAACAUUACUGUUGAUGCUCAGAAAAACUGUGCUUGUAAUGUUUGCCAUUUAUCAAAGCAAACAAGCAUCUUGAUCACAAAUCUUUCCAGCCUUGAGCCUAAAACCCGCUAGCUUAUCAAAUCCCAGACAGUAGUAACACUAGCUUGUUUCAGCUGUGACUACUAACCCACUACUGUACAGAAGUCACUUGCCCGCAGUUGUUUUUCUGGUUUCUCUUCUCUCUCCCUAAAGGAGCCAUUGAAAUUUGGUGUAAAAAGAGUAGCAGUGGGUGUAGGGUGUCUCAAGGCGAAUGUGAACAGCUGAGGUGUGAUUUCACAGGCUCGCUCUGCCCUGUCACGGCCCUGAUUGGGUUGGACAGCAGGCAGAGGAGAGGCCCUGGCUUCUAAAGGACACCAACAGGUGGAGGACCGCGGGGCAGAGGGGGGAGUAUAAGGGAGGCUGAGCGCUUAAAAAAAGCCGGGAGCAUGUGGCCAUGUCUGGGCAGAAUCCACCAGUCAUGCAAAGAGGACCAUACACUGUAGCACUCAGCAGAAGAGGAAAGAUGGGAACAGAAAGGUGUGGGGAGAGUUUUCAUUUGUUGCUAGAUUGAGUUGGGUAUAGCAAAUGGAAGAUUUUACACCUCUGCCACUGGAAAUGGUGCUGAUAAAGGAAAUGGAGGUAAGCAGCAAGAAUGAUUUUCUGAACAUUGUCAACAUAAGCUCUGUUCAUGUUCCUCCCUCUGCCUGCCGUUCUCUCUUGUUGAAGCAGCACGCCUUGCUGUGGCUGGUCAAAUGGAACCAAGUCAGGUGUUUCUGUGAGGUUUGGUCCCCUUCAACCAGCUACUGCGUCGUGAAUACAGCCAACAUAGAGCAAAGAUUAUAAGAGAGUCAUUCAGUAAAGUCUGAUAAUUAUCAUUUAAAAUGUACUAAUCCUAAGUUUUUCAUUAUUUAAUUGUCUUUUAUUUCUUCUAAAAUUCAAUAAACUAUUUUCCUUUUCAAUGUUGUGUUCA